UAGUGUCAGAAAGAAGAAACGUUUAAAAGUUAACAUGAAAACAAUGUCCGCUCUAGCUCGUUGACACUCAAUUGAAAGAACUGACAAAAAAAGGUAACAAAUAACUUUGAUACUCACGUUCACGUAACGUUCUCCUUGCAAAAUUUCACCAACAAGCCGAAGCCACCACACACAACAGACGAAAUCCUAAGGUGGUGAUGGACGCCAGUCCAUCUUUUACACACUUCAACAACCACACAAAUUUACCAGUCCAACUUCUACUCUGAAGACAAUGCAGUGACAUUGGUUCAUGUGCCUUGUCUGCAAGUGAUUCCAGUCAUUUCAGCACCUGGGCAUCAGUGUUUAGUCAGUGAAUUGCUGAAAGGAAAAACACCCAGUUGGUUAGGUAAACCUGUCAGUUAUUCAGAAUGCUUUUCUAUUCACCGCAGCAUACUACAAGGCACUCCACUCCACACUACCAUAUCUGACAACAACAUUAUGUUACGAUGACCAUUGAUAAUUGGAGAGCAGCAUUGGAAUGUGACAGGUUGUCUGGGCUAAAAGCCCCGAAAAGCCCCCCAAGAUUUCUUUGGGGAAACUUCGUCUGCUCCUAAGCUACACAGUACACAACUACACAUCAUAAGUUACUUUAAAAAAUAAAAACAAAUUCAGAUUAGGA
Molecule: long non-coding RNA, 658 nt
Organism: Daphnia pulex (common water flea)
Lineage: Eukaryota; Metazoa; Arthropoda; Branchiopoda; Diplostraca; Daphniidae
Exons: 2
Source: RefSeq, a predicted model, not a curated record